AAAUUGAAGAGUUUGAUCAUGGCUCAGAUUGAACGCUGGCGGCAGGCCUAACACAUGCAAGUCGAACGGUAACAGGAAGCAGCUUGCUGCUUCGCUGACGAGUGGCGGACGGGUGAGUAAUGUCUGGGAAACUGCCUGAUGGAGGGGGAUAACUACUGGAAACGGUAGCUAAUACCGCAUAACGUCGCAAGACCAAAGAGGGGGACCUUCGGGCCUCUUGCCAUCGGAUGUGCCCAGAUGGGAUUAGCUAGUAGGUGGGGUAACGGCUCACCUAGGCGACGAUCCCU
RNAcentral lists this ribosomal RNA (287 nucleotides) under Escherichia coli. Its description in RNAcentral is "partial 16S ribosomal RNA". It matches the Rfam family "Bacterial small subunit ribosomal RNA", at positions 1 to 284 of the family's 1533-position model. The record is from RNAcentral. RNAcentral also lists the same sequence under 1 other name. Lineage: Bacteria; Pseudomonadati; Pseudomonadota; Gammaproteobacteria; Enterobacterales; Enterobacteriaceae.